Hyla sarda is the source of this 1126-nucleotide long non-coding RNA. RefSeq lists it as uncharacterized. The transcript has 5 exons. The record is from RefSeq and is a predicted model, not a curated record. NCBI's taxonomy places the organism in Eukaryota, Metazoa, Chordata, Amphibia, Anura, Hylidae.
CCCAUUGUGAGGACAUCACAAAGUGCAGGAAACCCUUGUAUUUAGAGGGAUUCUGUCAAAUGGAGACUCCAUAGGAUAACUAUUAGGGUAGCUGAAGAUGAUGUAUAUCACUCAACAUCUCUACAUCUUGAGAAAAAUAAAUUAGGAAAACUCAUCUGCUCAAUUCCCUUCCACUGCCAUCCAGACGGUGUUCGGAUCCCUGCUGAACUCUACCUUCUGGUCCCUAUUUCUACAUUUACUGGCUUCAGAGGUGACAUGUCAAGUUGGGGACUUAUAAGUGAUUAGCAAAAAACUGGCACACUGGCAACGUCAUUAUUCCGGGGCCGGGCGCGAAGCGUGGAGAAGAGGCCCACACGGUGGAGAUGGACAGCCCGGAACAACUAUCCCUCCCCACCGGACGGUCCUGCAGCACAGACGGCCUGGACCAGCUCACCCGAACGUCCCGCCGAGCGGAGUUCACAGGUGCUGAGUGCACUUAGAACGCUGGAAUCUGGUGUGGUCCCAUUCCCAAGCCAUGAAGGUGGAAUGAAAUCCGGAAAACCUAGAACUGAUUGUGACUUGUCAUAGUAUAGAGAGCCCUGUGAAGGGUUAAGCACUCAGUGCUCAUUGUGGCUGCAGACUGCUCUCUAUUGCUUUCUUUUAUUAUAUGCUUUAUCUGCCUUGAGGUCUUAUGAUCUAGUCUCAGGGGGAUGGAGAGAGAGACACGGCAUUGCAGGGCUUUCCACCUUUUCUUUUGUCUGCUUCCUGCUUUACGAAGAAAAAAAAGACCCUAUCAUUUCCUAGCAGACAGGCAGACGGGUUAGAAAAAAAAUACUCUCAGUUCUGCUAAAGGCAAGUUCUCUUCCAGAUGAGAGGGAGGAGGAGAAUGGGAGGGACCAGAGGUGAUCCCCUUCUUUUCCUCUCUGUCUUGCACUCCCGAUACCACACACGUAUAAAUAAAAUAUGUGAAAUGACCCUCUAUCGGGAACGACUUACCCUUUGGACAUGCAUCAUAAAAUUGCCUUUACAAAGUAAUUGGUGUUAUUUUUUUUCUUACACACACCAUUUAUCCUAACCCAAACCAUUGAUCAGUAAUGUUUUUUAUGGAAAACCCCUUGCCAAUGAAGUAGGUAUAAUUCUGUUUUUC